AUGGCAUAACGAGGGCUUAGCUGUCUCCUUUUUCCAGUCAAUGAAAUUGAUCUCCCCGUGCAGAAGCGGGGAUAAAUACAUAAGACGAGAAGACCCUAUGGAGCUUUAGACACUAAAGUGGAUCAUGUCAAUGACCCUAAACAAAGGAUUGAACCAAAUGGAACCCACCCUGAUGUCUUUGGUUGGGGCGACCGCGGGGAACUAAAUAACCCCCAUGUGGAAUGGGAGCACCCCUCCUACAGCUGAGAGUUACAACUCUAAUAAACAGAAUUUCUGACCAAAAAGAUCCGGCAAAGCCGAUCAACGGACCUAGUUACCCUAGGGAUAACAGCGCAAUCCUCUUUUAGAGCCCAUAUCGACAAGGGGGUUUACGACCUCGAUGUUGGAUCAGGACAUCCUAAUGGUGCAGCCGCUAUUA
This 418-nucleotide ribosomal RNA is filed under the name Pungitius pungitius (ninespine stickleback). RNAcentral describes it as "partial 16S ribosomal RNA". It matches the Rfam family "Bacterial large subunit ribosomal RNA", at positions 1996 to 2567 of the family's 2925-position model. The record is from RNAcentral. Lineage: Eukaryota; Metazoa; Chordata; Actinopteri; Perciformes; Gasterosteidae.